Molecule: ribosomal RNA, 465 nt
Filed under: Vreelandella stevensii
Lineage: Bacteria; Pseudomonadati; Pseudomonadota; Gammaproteobacteria; Oceanospirillales; Halomonadaceae
Description: partial 16S ribosomal RNA
Rfam family: Bacterial small subunit ribosomal RNA
Source: RNAcentral
CCUACGGGGGGCUGCAGUGGGGAAUUUUGGACAAUGGGGGCAACCCUGAUCCAGCCAUGCCGCGUGUGUGAAGAAGGCCCUCGGGUUGUAAAGCACUUUCAGUGAGGAAGAACGCCUGGUGGUUAAUACCCAUCAGGAAAGACAUCACUCACAGAAGAAGCACCGGCUAACUCCGUGCCAGCAGCCGCGGUAAUACGGAGGGUGCGAGCGUUAAUCGGAAUUACUGGGCGUAAAGCGCGCGUAGGUGGCUUGAUAAGCCGGUUGUGAAAGCCCCGGGCUCAACCUGGGAACGGCAUCCGGAACUGUCAAGCUAGAGUGCAGGAGAGGAAGGUAGAAUUCCCGGUGUAGCGGUGAAAUGCGUAGAGAUCGGGAGGAAUACCAGUGGCGAAGGCGGCCUUCUGGACUGACACUGACACUGAGGUGCGAAAGCGUGGGUAGCAAACAGGAUUAGAUACCCCAGUAGUC